UUUAAUUGAAGAGUUUGAUCAUGGCUCAGAUUGAACGCUGGCGGCAGGCUUAACACAUGCAAGUCGAGCGGUAGCACAGGGGAGCUUGCUCCCYGGGUGACGAGCGGCGGACGGGUGAGUAAUGUCUGGGAAACUGCCUGAUGGAGGGGGAUAACUACUGGAAACGGUAGCUAAUACCGCAUAACGUCGCAAGACCAAAGAGGGGGACCUUCGGGCCUCUUGCCAUCAGAUGUGCCCAGAUGGGAUUAGCUAGUAGGUGGGGUAAUGGCUCACCUAGGCGACGAUCCCUAGCUGGUCUGAGAGGAUGACCAGCCACACUGGAACUGAGACACGGUCCAGACUCCUACGGGAGGCAGCAGUGGGGAAUAUUGCAC
This 374-nucleotide ribosomal RNA is filed under the name Serratia marcescens. Its description in RNAcentral is "bacterial SSU rRNA". It matches the Rfam family "Bacterial small subunit ribosomal RNA", at positions 1 to 369 of the family's 1533-position model. Lineage: Bacteria; Pseudomonadati; Pseudomonadota; Gammaproteobacteria; Enterobacterales; Yersiniaceae. The record is from RNAcentral.